CACACCGUUUUUGAGAGAGGGCUCACUUGACAGCCGUUCGACGAGAGAGGGUUGGCUUGACACCAGUGUUUUACUGGUGGUUAGUGUACAGUCUUCCUGUUAGAACUUCUUGAAAAACGAAACAAACGAAAGUAAACCCGUUUCCUUUCCUUUAGUUUAGAGCUGCAUCUUCGGCUGCAGAGCGCUAAGGAACCAUGGCGGUUCAAAAGCUGCUCCUUGAAUCUCUGGAGCAGUUGCGCACGGUUGACUUCCAAAAGUUUCAGUGGUACCUCACAGAAUGGGUCCUUCAAAGCUUUAAAUCAAUCCCUCGGUCCCACCUGGAGCAUGCAUCCAGGCCAGAAACAGUGACUAGGAUCGUUGAGAGAUACGGAGAGGAUAAAGCAGUGGAAAUCACUAUUCAGAUCUUAAGGGAGAUUGGAAACAACAAUGAAGCAGAGAAGUUGAUGAAGGCCCACUCAGCACAGGUGUAUUGAUGGCUUCAUCUUCCACCACCCCCUCCUCUGUGACGGCCCCUGCAGCUCCAGCUACAAUGCUGGCUAAGGACAAAAGCGCGAUUGUUGCCCCUACCAUCAGCAACAGCACCAUCGGAGAAAUAAAUAUAACCUUUAGAAAACAUAGCUGAACAACAAAUCCUGAUAAAUUCCUGACUUAAUGCAUUAUUUAGGUUGAAAUAGAAACCAAAUAGUUUAAUUUUGAGAUUUACCUUUAAAAAAAAAGACAAAUCAAUCAUUGACCAUUGUUCGUUGAGAUGAAACUGAGUGCUUGACUUACUCAAGGACAAUAUAAUAGGAAUGCCGAAAAAUUAAUAAAGCUGAACGUGACUUGUAACUUAAACUUACCUGUGACCUAUUAUUGUCAUUACCGGUACUUAAACUGUACAAUUCAAAUAAUUAAAAUAAGAAACAAAGGGUCCAUACUCCUCACAAAUUAUUUCUAAAAAUAUUCAUUUUUAAUCUCCAAACUGCUGAGUAAAACACAGUGAGGCAUGUUUUGUAGAAAUAUGUUUUUUUGAAGAGGAAUCGCUAUUUUUUAUUCUGAAUAUUUACAUCCCUGAAUCUGCAGGCGCAUUUAUUUCUAGCAGGUGUGCCUGGACUAUUCCAAUGUGUUGGGGUUUUAUUUUUUGGGCAAAAAAGCUUCUAAUGCAGACAUAAGUGUGAGUCAAAAAUUGUAUUUCUUGAUCAUGUGUAUUAUAUAACAUUAACACCAGAGGUUUACAUCCGCUGCAGAAAAAGACAGGUAACUCAGUCUAUUUUUUUCGCAUUUAAUAAGUCCUCACUCAUCCAGUUGAAGUUAUUGUAAAAAUAAUUUGUUGUAAAAGAUCGAGUUUUAGAAAUGUUUUUUUUUUUUAAGGUCAAAACUGUUAAACAAAUACACAUUUACUGGACAUGUGUAGCUUUCCAGAUCAACUUUAACUUGAAUGAAAAUAGUUGGUAUUCAUCAAAAUUCUUCUAGUUAUAUUUUACUGGGAAUAUGCUCUGAAGAGAUUAAUGAGAGCGAAUGCAAACAACAACAAAAAACAACAUUGUUUUAGUUUGUAAGCAACUUUGAAACUGUAUCGGAACCAUGAUUAAGUGAUGAGUUUUGUUGGCCCAUUUGCAGCCCAGCUUUUCCUUCCUGUCUUAUGUUUAUAUUAUAUUUCUAAAGAAUAGAUUUUAUUUUGUGGGCCGAUAUUAUUAGUACAGUCACCAAAGACUGUGCCACCACCCGAAUCUCACACUUUUUACGUUAUCAGACUAAAGGUGUUUAUUCUGUUUGCAUGUGCACUCUGUAACCUGACUUGUUAAACUGAUUUGGAGGAUCAAGCUUCUCUAUUAGAAGGCCCGCCUUGCAUGUGUUGGUUUUCUCAGGGAACUCCAGCCUCCUCCCACCGUCCACAAACAUGCUUUACAGGUUAAUUUGGUUGUCCUUUUGUGUGAAUGUGAGUGUGCAUAGGUAUGUGAUCUGUGGCCCUGCAACAGACUGGCGACCUGUCCAGGAUGUCCCCUGCCUUCACCCACAAGUUGCCGGGAGAGGCUCCAGCUGCCCUGUGACCCCAAAAGGGAAAAACUGGUUUAGAAGAUAAAUAAACCUUCUCUAUCAUUAAAGAAAAUAUCCUUUCAUUAAAAGUACUGCAAACUCUCUGUAUAAUUGCACUUUUUGUUGAGAACUCUCUUUGGAGGUCUGAAGUCAUAGGAGGAUCUGGCUUUACUUUGGAUGGUAAAAUGUCCCUAUAUGACUAAAAGCCCCCAAAUGGUCCAUUACUUCCCACACUGUAUUUCUUGAUAAGGAAAACACUGGACAACUCUUAUGAAAGAUUUACAGAAACAGGACUUUCACUAAAAGCUCUUCAAAGAAGAUUCCCUUUUACUCUCCCUGAAGGACUUACUCCAGACUCCUUGGGAAUGUAAGGUUUAUGACUUCAUCCACGGAAGGACACACAAACUCCACUCAGGACAAGCAGAGAUGAACAUUUUAUUUGAAUUACCUGUUUCCACGAAUAAAAAUUUCAAAUAUCUAUUAA
Molecule: non-coding RNA, 2500 nt
Organism: Oryzias latipes (Japanese medaka)
Lineage: Eukaryota; Metazoa; Chordata; Actinopteri; Beloniformes; Adrianichthyidae
Source: RefSeq, a predicted model, not a curated record